GUUCUUGUUAUUUUGAGAAGAAAUCCAAAAAUGGAUCAAAAAAUAUUCAUGCACCUCUCCAGUGCAGGAUAAACAGGAUGCUGCAGAUGUGGAGGAGGGUAAGCAGGAGGAGAAGCAACCAGUUUGCAAUACUCUAGCAUGGCAAUUGACUGGAAGCCAGGAAAUCCAACCACAUAGUCAUUCCUUCAGCCUGCAAGAAAAGGUGUUAUGAAGAAACAUCUGCCUUUAUGUGUGAGUAUUCCUAACUGGG
Molecule: long non-coding RNA, 250 nt
Organism: Corvus hawaiiensis (hawaiian crow)
Lineage: Eukaryota; Metazoa; Chordata; Aves; Passeriformes; Corvidae
Exons: 3
Source: RefSeq, a predicted model, not a curated record